Molecule: ribosomal RNA, 233 nt
Filed under: uncultured bacterium
Lineage: Bacteria
Description: partial 16S ribosomal RNA
Rfam family: Bacterial small subunit ribosomal RNA
Source: RNAcentral
CGGGUGAGUAACGCGUGAGGAACCUGCCUCAAAGAGGGGACGAACAGUUGGAAACGACUGCUAAUACCGCAUAAGCCCACAGCUCGGCAUCGAGCAGAGGGAAAAGGAGCAAUCCGCUUUGAGAUGGCCUCGCGUCCGAUUAGCUAGUUGGUGAGGUAACGGCCCACCAAGGCGACGAUCGGUAGCCGGACUGAGAGGUUGAACGGCCACAUUGGGACUGAGACACGGCCCAG